Molecule: ribosomal RNA, 468 nt
Filed under: uncultured bacterium
Lineage: Bacteria
Description: partial 16S ribosomal RNA
Rfam family: Bacterial small subunit ribosomal RNA (bases 12-374)
Source: RNAcentral
GACGAACGCUGGCGGCGUGCUUAACACAUGCCAGUCGAACGGAAAGGCCCUGCUUUUGUGGGGUGCUCGAGUGGCGAACGGGUGAGUAACACGUGAGUAACCUGCCCUUGACUUUGGGAUAACUUCAGGAAACUGGGGCUAAUACCGGAUAGGAGCUCCUGCUGCAUGGUGGGGGUUGGAAAGUUUCGGCGGUUGGGGAUGGACUCGCGGCUUAUCAGCUUGUUGGUGGGGUAGUGGCUUACCAAGGCUUUGACGGGUAGCCGGCCUGAGAGGGUGACCGGCCGAAUUGGGACUGAGUGAGCGACGAGAGGCCGACGGGAGCAGGCAGGGGGGAGUAGGGCGAAAUGGGGGGAAGCCUAAUGCAGCUACGCCGCGGGCGGGAGGGUGGGUGUCGGGAGGGGACAAGGAUGCACCUGUGAAGAAGGGUGAAGGACGGGAGUGGGUAAAGAAGAAACGGCUAGCUAGGUC